Molecule: long non-coding RNA, 3265 nt
Filed under: Equus asinus (donkey)
Lineage: Eukaryota; Metazoa; Chordata; Mammalia; Perissodactyla; Equidae
Description: lncRNA (ENSEASG00005025121.1)
Source: RNAcentral
UGGCAUUUGGACAUCUUUGUCCCCCUACACUUGAGUCAUGCUCUGUCCGUGCUCAGGGCUGCGCCUGUUUUCAGUGCAUUCACAUUUCUAUCACUUUGAGGUCUGGGCUCGGCCCAGCAGUGGGAUGGGUAGAUUGGGAGGCCCAGGAUCUGGACUGGAUCUGUCAGCUGGAGUGUGGCAGGCGCUUGAGGAAUGAGCAGCAGCAGGUAGCAGGACAGCACCUGGUCUGACUAAGAGAAGACAGUCUCCGGGAAGAGCAGAGCAAUGACUCAGGUUAUAGACAAGGUUACAGUGAGUCUUGAAGGACUAACAUGAUGUCGCAGGAUGCCCUGCGAGGCAGGCGGAGCCCUACUGUAAUAGAAAUCCAGGGAAUUAGCAUCAGAUAAGCAUCAGCUGGUUGCAGGGCACCAAUCACUAGACUGUGCCUCUUGGGCAGACUCUGGUCUUGGGGGUAGGACAGUACCAGCGGGAAGAAGGCAAAUGCCCAGGUUUGCGUGGAGAGGGAGCCAGGCAGACGUAAGCACAUCAGAGACCAAGUCAAACCUGUCAUCAGAACCAGCUCACAGGCUCCUGUAGCCUAGAAGAAAGAGUGGGUUGGGAGUAAUCCUGGAAUGUUGAUCUUCAAGGUCAAAUGCCCCUCUACAAGGUCAGGGGUUGGUCCUAAAGACCAAAGUUCCAGGUCACACAUGGCAAAAGCCCUAAACCCAGGGAAGUGGCUUCAAUCUGCGCUCUCCACGGUCAGGAAGAGGGCCUUCAUUCACGUGGCAAACAUCUUCUGAGCACUCAGAUGUGUCAGGCGCUGAGUCACAAUGGAGAAUAGUCCCCGCCCUCAAGGAGCCCUGAGAAACAAGCCUCCUUUGACCGACUGUUGGUGAGCAACCACUGAAGCAGGAUUCUUUACAGCACCUCUGGCGCAAUCCUCACAGACUGGAGACCAGCCUCCACGCAGGACCUGCCGACACACUUCGUUACGCUCUGCACAGCAAAGCACAUACGCAGUAAAGUGCGCAAGUCUUGAGGAAACAUCUUGAUGGCUUUAUAAACCCAUCAACACAGUGUUUUAAAAGCUGAGGUCAUAGUCACAGGGAGAGGUGACUACAGAAGAACCGUUAGAGAGAUGCCACAGUGUUGGCUAUAAAGAUGGAGGGAGGGCCGCGAGCCCCGGAAGUCUAGCAGCCUCUAGGAGCUGGAGAAGGUGAGGAAGCAGAUCCUGCCCCAGAGACUCCGCAAUGGCCCCAGCCCUGCUGAGACCCUGACUUCAGCCCAGUCGGACUUUUGUCAAACUGCUGACCUACUGUCAGUAAGCUCACAUACCAAGGAAGCUGGGAAAGAAGCUUGGAAAAAAUGAGAUGCAAAGUGAGGGUUGGCACAGAAUUUGAAUGAUGAUUAGCAGGGCGGACACCUCAUUCCAAAGCAUCCAGUUGCACAUAGCAUUUGCUCAGCAAUUUACCAAGAGGACAAAGGUGGCCUCCUCUGCUGCUUGUUGGUGAAAGUUUGCUAGACUUAUCUUUGAACGGUGACUGUCAGUUAUUAACUUUUCUCGUGAAAAAAGUCCCUGGAAUGUAAAAAUUUAUUCCGAGCAACAGCACACACCAAACCUCCCUCACCGCUGCCGGCUUUCCAUCUCAGAUUCUGAUGGUGUGGAGACGAAAGGCUGAGGGCUCUCCCGGAGCUCACCUUCCAUCUGCGAAAGCCACUGCCGGGACAAUUCUUUCCCCAGAGAGAAGGCAUCCUCUUGGGCACAGAAGCGAGAUUGUCUAACAGUGUCCCAGAGCUCUCCGUACCUCAGUUUCCCGAUCUGCGCCUGCCAUACAUGGUGGUCCUACUGCUGGUUUGAAAAGUAUGCUACAAAUAUGAAGAGAUAAUCAGCAAGGCUCCUUGGAUAAGGUUAUUAUAUUCAAGUCUUGCCAAAAAAUGUAAGAAAAAAAACUCCAAUUUGAUGGGAUCCAGAGGAACAAUUAUGCUUUCUAAAAAUAAGAUGAGCCGAAGCUAAGGAAAUGAAAACGUUUCUAAAGAAGAAGGUCAGGACUUCUUUUGUGGCCUCCUUUCAUCGCUGGGUUAUUCACUGUAAUAGUAGCCUGCCAUUUCAAACUAUGACUCAGGGGCCUGGUCAUGGGUUACAGAGCAUUUCAUCUGUGGUCACCCCACCUGCCCACGAGAAAUUGAUGGUUAGCGACUACGGAGCAGGUUACUCACUGAAUAUUAUUCUCCACCGUAACCUCCUGACCCUUGCCUCAUCGAAAAGAUUGGUGCUAUUCUGCUUUUACCUACAGAGAAAGAGCAAGGAGGAGAUAAAAUAGGACCUUGAUAUUCGGGGUUGUGGCUCAUUUCUGAAGGUCGGACAUGAAAAGCUGUUUCGAAUUUUGCCCCAUUCGUUCUUAAAACCGCAGCCCAGGAAUUUAUAAGCAUAGCUGCCCUUUAUCUCUCCCAAGAAUGAAAUUGCUUUCUCCAAUAGAGUUUAAAGGGAUGAAUUAAUUGGUGUUUUUGGCAGGAGUACUCUAUAAUUGCAAAGUACUCUGAGUAUCACCAUAUAGUUUUUUCCUUAGAUGGUCCAUUAGGAGGAACUAUGGCAUUCCCAAAGCUAUUCUUUAAUUAGGUCAGCAGCAUCUGCCAAGAAUCCGCUCUCCUCUCAGACCAGGUUUAAUCACAGUGACAAGUGACUUUCAAGUUUAUACCCACACACUCUUAGAUUUCUGAUUUGCCCUAGAAGAAGGUUCUGAUCACAGUGUUCUGAGCGCUGGCCCCUGGGCCUGACUUCCCUGUCUGUCUGGAUUUGGGAUUUUUGGCCUGCCCUUACCUUGUGACUUGCCCCCCUGGAUUGCUGACCCAUUCUUGACCUCUGACAACAGCACGCUCCUUAACAUCUGUUCUACCUGCAUAGAGCCUGGUCUUCCGCCCGAUUCUUAAUUCUGAUUAUUAGGCUCCUGGACCAGGCCAAUUCUCACAGCCUAAGGAGGAUGAAGAUGUCCUUAGACUAAAAUGGCCAAGACCAGAGCUCAUGAAUGACAAGGACAAACAACCCAAGGACUCAGUGAUCAUACAAAUGUCCAAAUGGGGGGCACAUGAAUUGCUGUAAGGCCUUAGAUUUCACAUAUUAUAUAUAUGAGGUUCAUAUAUUACAGUUAGUUACAGGACACUAAUGAGAGACAGACUUUUCAAACCUAGGUCACAGAACACUGAGCAUAGCCCUCAAAAUGCACCCUGGAUCACACAGCAAAAGAUACGCAGUCACGGAAUUGCUGCUGGGCCAAUGUGUCAAUCACGC